AAAAAGGGCAAACCAUAGAUUUCCGUGUCCAACUUUGAUUGUCCGUCUUAUAUGAAAUUUUUUUAUAAUUCGUAUUUUUAUUAUUGUUAGACGAUAAAACAUGAUUAAUAUUUUAUGCGUGACUUGUCUUUUUAAUUUUUUUCAUAAUUUUUUCAAAUAAAACGGACAGUCAAACGUUGGGCACGGAAACCAAGAUUUGUCUUUUUU
Molecule: microRNA precursor, 207 nt
Organism: Oryza sativa Japonica Group (Japanese rice)
Lineage: Eukaryota; Viridiplantae; Streptophyta; Magnoliopsida; Poales; Poaceae
Rfam family: MIR812 microRNA precursor family
Source: Rfam